UACGUAGGUGGCGAGCGUUGUCCGGAAUUAUUGGGCGUAAAGGAUGCGUAGGUGGUAGUUUAAGUGGGAUGUGAAAUCCCUGGGCUUAACCCAGGAACUGCAUUCCAAACUGGACUACUAGAGUGCAGGAGAGGAAAGUGGAAUUCCUAGUGUAGCGGUGAAAUGCGUAGAGAUUAGGAGGAACACCAGUGGCGAAGGCGACUUUCUGGACUGUAACUGACACUGAGGCAUGAAAGCGUGGGGAGCAAAC
RNAcentral lists this ribosomal RNA (250 nucleotides) under uncultured bacterium. RNAcentral's name for it is "partial 16S ribosomal RNA". It matches the Rfam family "Bacterial small subunit ribosomal RNA", at positions 524 to 773 of the family's 1533-position model. The record is from RNAcentral.